GUUCCAGACUCCUACGGGAGGCAGCAGUGAGGAAUAUUGGUCAAUGGGCGGGAGCCUGAACCAGCCAAGUCGCGUGAGGGAAGACGGUCCUACGGAUUGUAAACCUCUUUUGCCGGGGAGCAACGGGGUCCUUGCGAGGGCCCGAUGAGAGUACCCGGAGAAAAAGCAUCGGCUAACUCCGUGCCAGCAGCCGCGGUAAUACGGAGGAUGCGAGCGUUAUCCGGAUUUAUUGGGUUUAAAGGGUGCGUAGGCGGCAUUAUAAGUUAGUGGUAAAAUAUUGGGGCUUCACCUCACUACGCCAUUAAUACUGUAGAGCUAGAGAACAGACGAGGUAGGCGGAAUAAGUUAAGUAGCGGUGAAAUGCAUGGAUAUAACUUAGAACACCGAUAGCGAAGGCAGCUUACCAGACUGAGUCUGACGCUGAUGCACGAGAGCAUGGGUAGCGAACAGGAUUAGAUACCCCAGUAGAG
RNAcentral lists this ribosomal RNA (470 nucleotides) under uncultured bacterium. Its description in RNAcentral is "bacterial SSU rRNA". It matches the Rfam family "Bacterial small subunit ribosomal RNA", at positions 328 to 795 of the family's 1533-position model. The record is from RNAcentral.